GACGAGGGGUCCAAGCGUUGUUCGGAAUUAUUGGGCGUAAAGCGGGUGUGGGUGGCUCUAUAAGUCAGGAGUGAAAUCCCCGAGCUUAACUUGGGAAGUGCUUUUGAUACUGUAGAGCUUGAAUGUGGGAGAGGAUAAUAGAAUUCCAGGUGUAGUGGUGAAAUACGUAGAUAUCUGGAGGAAUACCGGUGGCGAAGGCGGUUAUCUGGCCCAACAUUGACACUGCGACCCGAAAGCGUGGGGAUCAAACAGG
This 253-nucleotide ribosomal RNA is filed under the name uncultured bacterium. Its description in RNAcentral is "partial 16S ribosomal RNA". It matches the Rfam family "Bacterial small subunit ribosomal RNA", at positions 524 to 776 of the family's 1533-position model. The record is from RNAcentral.